This is an RNA transcript of Trichomycterus rosablanca, 1429 nucleotides long. It is a transcript of the gene named heterogeneous nuclear ribonucleoprotein D-like, with no coding region annotated. The transcript is spliced from 9 exons. Lineage: Eukaryota; Metazoa; Chordata; Actinopteri; Siluriformes; Trichomycteridae. The record is from RefSeq and is a predicted model, not a curated record.
UACGUCAUCGCGCAGAGGCAGCCAUUUCAGUAAAAACGGCGGUGUGUGCUGUUGGCUUAUAUUUUUUAAAAGAAUAGUCGUACCAGUGUAGGGAGGUCCCCGACCCGCUUCUUUUUAUUUUAAAAUGCAGACAGAACAACAGCAGAGUGAUUUCAGCACUGAUGAGUUUCCAGAAGGCUCCAAAAUCAACGCGAGUAAGAACCAGGAGGACGACGGGAAAAUGUUUAUCGGUGGACUGAGUUGGGAGACCAGCAAAGAAGACCUUAAAAUCUAUCUUUCCACGUUUGGGGAGGUGCUGGAUUGCACCAUCAAAACAGACCCAAUGACUGGUCGAUCCAGAGGCUUUGGGUUUGUGCUUUUCAGAGAUGCAAUUAGUGUUGACAAGGUUUUGGAACUGAAGGAACACAAACUGGAUGGUAAACUGAUUGAUCCAAAAAGAGCUAAAGCCAUGAAGCAGAAGGAACCCCCCAAAAAGGUCUUUGUUGGAGGUCUUCACCCAGAAACAUCAGAGGAAGAAGUUCGACAAUAUUUUGGCAGUUUUGGGGAGAUUGAAAAUAUUGAACUCCCUGUGGAUACCAGCACGAAUGGAAGGAGAGGGUUCUGCUUCGUAACAUACGUUGAUGAAGAGCCAGUUAAGAAGCUGUUGGAAAACAGAUACCACCAAAUUGGAACAGGAAAGUGUGAAGUUAAAGUUGCCCAACCAAAAGAAGUCUACAGACAGCAACAGGGCAGAGGAGGAGGAGGAGCUGGAGCUGUAGCAGGAGCAAGAGGAGGAUUUCGAGGUCGGGGAAGAGGAGGACCAAGUCAGGGCUACAACCAAGGGUAUGGUAAUGGCUACUAUGGACAAAACUAUGGAAGCUAUGGCAAUGGGUACAACCAGGGAUAUAACGACUACUCUGGGUACGACUAUUCAGGCUACAACUAUCAGAAUUAUGGAUAUGGAACAGGCUAUGAUUACAAUGGUCAACAGAGCAGCUAUGGCAAGGUCUCCAAAGAGAGUGGAAAUCAUCAGAAUAACUAUCAGCCAUACUAAUAAAAAAGCCCUGCAAAGUUUAUGCGGGGGACUUCAUUGCAGGCCGUGUGUCACCUGACCACGAAAUUCUCUGGGCGUCGCACAUAGCGGGCAGAGAGCACGGCAUGCACAAGAAAGCGCUGUCCUGUGGUGGGCAGACUGAGCAUUCGUACCCUAGACGCAGCUUGUGGAUACCCUGUCCUCCUUAUUCAAAGAGCGUCUUGAUUUUAAAAAACUUUUUUUUUUUUUGUCCGCUAAAGAUUGAAGACAAGUGUCUGACCUUGUAAAUAUUGUUUUCUGUACUUUGUUGAGGUAGAACCUUUUUGUGCUAUUGUGUUCAUAGAUCCUGAUUAAGGAUAUGUUCUCCUUAUUUUUUCAGUUUUGAAUAAAUGGGCUAUUAAAUUCGGGUACAAAACC